This 306-nucleotide ribosomal RNA is filed under the name uncultured eukaryote. Its description in RNAcentral is "partial 18S ribosomal RNA". It matches the Rfam family "Eukaryotic small subunit ribosomal RNA", at positions 1470 to 1796 of the family's 1831-position model. The record is from RNAcentral.
CCCUUAGAUGGCCUGGGCUGCACGCGGGCUACAAUGGUAUAUUCAGCGUGAGUUGUUUACCGAAAGGUAGAUCAAAUCUUCAAAUUAUACCGUACUUGGGAUUGGACAUUGCAAUUGUUGUCCAUGAACGAGGAAUUCCUAGUAAGUGCAUGUCAUUAGCGUGCGCUGAUUACGUCCCUGCCCUUUGUACACACCGCCCGUCGCUCCUACCGAUUGGGUGCUGGGGUGAACAUUGUGGAGAUUUGAGCUUCGGCUUGGUCAAAGCAAUGUGAAUCUUGCCGUCUAGAGGAAGGAGAAGUCGUAACA